CACCACCUCUCAGCGUGUCUGGUAAGACCUUCANCCUGACCUUCAUACUGCUGUCGCCACUGGUAAGGGUUCCUCGCGUUGAAUCGAAUUAAACCGCAGCCUCCACCCCUUGUGUGCUCCCCCGCCAAUUCCCUUAAGUUUGCUGUAGAAGAAGCCGAUAAUUUAGCUUCUACAUUAUUGUUCUCAAAUCCAAAAUAAUCCAGUUGAUAUGCGCGCGGUCGCAAUGGAAUCAUUUUACAAGCGGCUUCUUCCAUUUCAGCCUUGCGACCGUACUUCCCAGGUGGCCCAUUUAACGGUUUCCCUACGACUCUGGCAUCCCCCUUGAGAAUGCCAAUGUCAAAUGGGCAUGGUUUACAGCCAGAACUACCGGGGUAUCUAAUCCCGUUUGCUCCUCUGGCUUUCGUCCCUCACCGUCAGAUCCGUUCUAGUCGAGCGCCUUCGCCAAUCACCUGAUUAAGCGACACGAGGUCGCUUAGUCAACAGGUGGUCCUCUUGGGAUUAUAAGAUUUUACCCUUACCCCAAGAAUACCCUCGACCUCUCCCGGUCUCAAGCCUGCCAGUAUCCCCAACAAUUUCGACAGUUAGCUGCCGAAUUCAUUAG
This 601-nucleotide ribosomal RNA is filed under the name uncultured archaeon. RNAcentral describes it as "partial 16S ribosomal RNA". The record is from RNAcentral.